This 253-nucleotide ribosomal RNA is filed under the name uncultured bacterium. RNAcentral's name for it is "partial 16S ribosomal RNA". It matches the Rfam family "Bacterial small subunit ribosomal RNA", at positions 524 to 776 of the family's 1533-position model. The record is from RNAcentral.
UACAGAGGUCUCAACCGUUGUUCGGAUUCAUUGGGCGUAAAGGGUGCGUAGGCGGUCGUGCAAGUCGGAUGUGAAAUCUCAGGGCUCAACCCUGAAACUGCAUUCGAUACUGCGCGGCUAGAGUGCUGGAGGGGAGACUGGAAUUCUCGGUGUAGCGGUGAAAUGCGUAGAUAUCGUCUGGAACGCCAAAGGUGAAAACAGACUGCUGGGAGUGUGCUGACGCUGAGACACGAAAGCCAGGGGAGCAAACAGG